This 505-nucleotide ribosomal RNA is filed under the name uncultured bacterium. Its description in RNAcentral is "partial 16S ribosomal RNA". It matches the Rfam family "Bacterial small subunit ribosomal RNA", at positions 28 to 507 of the family's 1533-position model. The record is from RNAcentral.
GACGAACGCUGGCGGCGUGCCUAAUACAUGCAAGUAGAACGCACAGUUUAUACCGUAGCUUGCUACACCAUAAACUGUGAGUUGCGAACGGGUGAGUAACGCGUAGGUAACCUGCCUGGUAGCGGGGGAUAACUAUUGGAAACGAUAGCUAAUACCGCAUAAUAUUGAUUAUUGCAUGAUAAUUGAUUGAAAGAUGCUAUUGCAUCACUACCAGAUGGACCUGCGUUGUAUUAGCUAGUAGGUGAGGUAACGGCUCACCUAGGCGACGAUACAUAGCCGACCUGAGAGGGUGAUCGGCCAAACAGGGACUGAGACACGGCCCAGACUCCUACGGGAGGCAGCAGUAGGGAAUCUUCGGCAAUGGACGAAAGUCUGACCGAGCAACGCCGCGUGAGUGAAGAAGGUUUUCGGAUCGUAAAGCUCUGUUGUAAGAGAAGAACGGGUGUGAGAGUGGAAAGUUCACACUGUGACGGUAUCUUACCAGAAAGGGACGGCUAACUACGUG